Molecule: long non-coding RNA, 1728 nt
Organism: Brassica napus (rape)
Lineage: Eukaryota; Viridiplantae; Streptophyta; Magnoliopsida; Brassicales; Brassicaceae
Exons: 2
Source: RefSeq, a predicted model, not a curated record
CCAGUUGCUCUUUCUAUUUUUUUGGUGGAUCUUUUUUGGAAUAUUCAUGCUUUGUAUCAGAUCAAAGAAAAGUACUGACCAAAUACAUGCAACAUAUUGGUAAUCUAGAAACAUAUAAAAGAAGAGUACAAGAUAUAUGCAAGAGAGUGUUACAAAUUAAAGGGGACAAAGAGUGGUGUAGAUUGUAGAGAAAAUUUUCAAGAAAAAAAAGGAAGAAAGAAAAAAGUGAUGAAUGAUGAUGGUAAUGGUAGGGAUGGUGGGGAACAUAUAUCUUCUUUAUCUUUUACCCUUGUUUUCUUCUCUCUCUCUCUCUGUCUCUCGUCUCUAUUACAUGUUUAGAGUUUCUUUUGGUUCAAGCUACAUCUUUUUCUGUCUAAAUCUAUUUGCUUCUUCAAACCAAACGUUAUCUUCGCCAUAAAUAUCGGUCAUUAAUUACCUGUGUAUGCUUAAUUCUGGCUUAUUGAUAAAUACAAUAGCAAUAAAAAAGAUAAAUGCAAUACCUUACAUUUCUGUUUAAAAUCUCUCAAUAAUAAAAAUGUAAAAGGAAGAAAGCAAGUAGUUUCGAAUGAUCUUGUCAACUUAACUGGCCAUGAAUAACCUAAAGGUAUAUUUUAGAUUUCAUUAAGAAAAUUAAAACAAGACUAGUGGCGAGUACCGUCUUCAUAAGAAAUUAGGUGGAUUCAUCCUAAAUACUCCCAGUCAAUAACAAAUAAAAACUAAAGAGAGUGAUGAGGCGACAAAGUGAGGAGACACGUGGAAAAAGGUACGUUGACGUGGGGAAUGUGAAAAUGUUGUCGAUGGUGUUUACGGGCAUUGUGUCUGCAUUUUCUCGUGCUUGCAAAAAAAAAAUGUUUUCAAGUGUGUGAUGAAGAUUGUGACGUCUCCUUAGGUCCUUUUAAGUGUCCAGAGGCGAAGAAUCUUUCAUUAGCUCCUCUCUUUAAGGUUACGCAUUCAUUACUCAUUUAUCAUGCUUCCCUUGCUUGAUUGAUAAAAGGGCUGGUUUUAAUACUGAUUUUUUUUUUAUUAGUUUUAGUACUGAAAAAUUGGUUGGACUUGACUAUUUGCUUUAUGUUAAUUAUAAAGUAACAAGUAAAGAAACUGAAAGAGUGUAACUAAGAGCAUGAUUAUUACAGUUUUUUAAGAGGGUUUUUAAACAAAUAACAUCAUUUAAUUAAAUGAAAACUAAAUGAAACUGUAAUAAUCGAUCCUUAAUGUGGAUGUUUGAUAACGGAUCCUUAAGUCUUGAAAGUGCACACGUGUCACUCUCAGCCAUCAAUUUUAUUUUCUUUUUCUUUUUCUUUUUUCUUUUCUUUUUCUUUUCUAUUUUUCUGUUAUUCUUUUUCUUCUCUUGUCUUCUCAGAUGGCUCUCGUAACCUGCAAUUGUCGUGAGCAGAGAUGUUGGUCCGUGGUCGUGAGCAGCUGUGAGCAGAAUCGCCGGAAGUGAACCCAUGACGAAUCAGAGACUCCGCCGGUGAGGAUCAGAAGAAUAAGAAGACGCCGUGGCCACACCAGUCAAUCUUCCUGUUUCGGGUGGUGAAGGAAGAUGAUGACGUGGUGCCUUAAGGCGGUGUGUCUUUUUUUUUAGGUUUAGAUUUUUUUUUUUGGUUUAGUGUAUACCUAAAAUUGAGAUGGUUUGAUUUUAUUUUUUUAAUUUAUGGUUUAGUUUUGUAAACCAAAAUGUAUUUGUAAGCCACUUUUAAUUAAUAAAUAAAUAAGUCUAUGAACGAA